Molecule: ribosomal RNA, 1346 nt
Filed under: uncultured bacterium
Lineage: Bacteria
Description: bacterial SSU rRNA
Rfam family: Bacterial small subunit ribosomal RNA
Source: RNAcentral
GACGAACGCUGGCGGCGUGCUUAACACAUGCAAGUCGAACGGAAAGGCCCUGCUUUUGUGGGGUGCUCGAGUGGCGAACGGGUGAGUAACACGUGAGUAACCUGCCCUUGACUUUGGGAUAACUUCAGGAAACUGGGGCUAAUACCGGAUAGGAGCUCCUGCUGCAUGGUGGGGGUUGGAAAGUUUCGGCGGUUGGGGAUGGACUCGCGGCUUAUCAGCUUGUUGGUGGGGUAGUGGCUUACCAAGGCUUUGACGGGUAGCCGGCCUGAGAGGGUGACCGGCCACAUUGGGACUGAGAUACGGCCCAGACUCCUACGGGAGGCAGCAGUGGGGAAUAUUGCACAAUGGGCGGAAGCCUGAUGCAGCAACGCCGCGUGCGGGAUGACGGCCUUCGGGUUGUAAACCGCUUUCGCCUGUGACGAAGCGUGAGUGACGGUAAUGGGUAAAGAAGCACCGGCUAACUACGUGCCAGCAGCCGCGGUGAUACGUAGGGUGCGAGCGUUGUCCGGAUUUAUUGGGCGUAAAGGGCUCGUAGGUGGUUGAUCGCGUCGGAAGUGUAAUCUUGGGGCUUAACCCUGAGCGUGCUUUCGAUACGGGUUGACUUGAGGAAGGUAGGGGAGAAUGGAAUUCCUGGUGGAGCGGUGGAAUGCGCAGAUAUCAGGAGGAACACCAGUGGCGAAGGCGGUUCUCUGGGCCUUUCCUGACGCUGAGGAGCGAAAGCGUGGGGAGCGAACAGGCUUAGAUACCCUGGUAGUCCACGCUGUAAACGGUGGGUACUAGGUGUGGGGUCCAUUCCACGGGUUCCGUGCCGUAGCUAACGCUUUAAGUACCCCGCCUGGGGAGUACGGCCGCAAGGCUAAAACUCAAGGGAAUUGACGGGGCCCCGCACAAGCGGCGGAGCAUGCGGAUUAAUUCGAUGCAACGCGUAGAACCUUACCUGGGUUUGACAUGGAUCGGGAGUGCUCAGAGAUGGGUGUGCCUCUUUUGGGGUCGGUUCACAGGUGGUGCAUGCCUGUCGUCAGCUCGUGUCGUGAGAUGUUGGGUUAAGUCCCGCAACGAGCGCAACCCUUGUUCACUGUUGCCAGCACGUUAUGGUGGGGACUCAGUGGAGACCGCCGGGGUCAACUCGGAGGAAGGUGGGGAUGACGUCAAGUCCUCAUGCCCCUUAUGUCCAGGGCUUCACGCAUGCUACAAUGGCUGGUACAGAGAGUGGCGAGCCUGUGAGGGUGAGCGAAUCUCGGAAAGCCGGUCUCGGUUCGGAUUGGGGUCUGCAACUCGACCUCAUGAAGUCGGAGUCGCUAGUAAUCGCAGAUCAGCAACGCUGCGGUGAAUACGUUCCCGGGGCC